GGAAUUUAAAUUCUUAAGCAACUCCGCAAAAGACAAAAACAACUAGCUCACACGAAUUCGCACGCAAAA
RNAcentral lists this non-coding RNA (69 nucleotides) under Favella ehrenbergii. Lineage: Eukaryota; Ciliophora; Spirotrichea; Tintinnida; Xystonellidae. The record is from RNAcentral.